AAUGUUGGGUUAAGUCCCGCAACGAGCGCAACCCUUAUCCUUUGUUGCCAGCGAUUCGGUCGGGAACUCAUAGGAGACUGCCGGUGAUAAACCGGAGGAAGGUGGGGAUGACGUCAAGUCAUCAUGGCCCUUANGAGUAGGGCUACACACGUGCUACAAUGGCGCUACAAAGAGAUGCAAC
This 181-nucleotide ribosomal RNA is filed under the name uncultured organism. Its description in RNAcentral is "partial 16S ribosomal RNA". It matches the Rfam family "Bacterial small subunit ribosomal RNA", at positions 1071 to 1253 of the family's 1533-position model. The record is from RNAcentral.